This 253-nucleotide ribosomal RNA is filed under the name uncultured bacterium. RNAcentral describes it as "partial 16S ribosomal RNA". It matches the Rfam family "Bacterial small subunit ribosomal RNA", at positions 524 to 776 of the family's 1533-position model. The record is from RNAcentral.
UACGUAGGUGGCAAGCGUUGUCCGGAUUUACUGGGCGUAAAGAGCGCGCAGGCGGUCGUUCAAGUCGCGUGUGAAAGCCCCCGGCUCAACUGGGGAGGGUCACGCGAUACUGAUCGACUCGAAGGCAGGAGAGGGUAGUGGAAUUCCCGGUGUAGUGGUGAAAUGCGUAGAUAUCGGAAGGAACAUCAGUGGCGAAAGCGGCUUCCUGGACCAGCACCGACGUUCAGGCACGAAAGCGUGGGGAGCAAACAGG